UACGAAGGGGGCGAGCGUUAUUCGGAAUCACUGGGCGUAAAGCGUGCGUAGGCUGUUUUGUAAGUUGGGAGUGAAAGCCCAGGGCUCAACCCUGGAAUUGCUCUCAAAACUACAAGACUCGGAUUUGGGAGAGGAUAGCGGAAUUGUCAGUGUAGCAGUGAAAUGCGUAGAUAUUGACAGGAACACCAGUGGCGCAAGCGGCUAUCUGGACCAACAUCGACGCUGAGGCACGAAAGCGUGGGGAUCAAACAGG
This 253-nucleotide ribosomal RNA is filed under the name uncultured bacterium. Its description in RNAcentral is "partial 16S ribosomal RNA". It matches the Rfam family "Bacterial small subunit ribosomal RNA", at positions 524 to 776 of the family's 1533-position model. The record is from RNAcentral.